UACGGCCGCAUCACGUUGAAAUACCAGUUCCCGUACGAUCACCGAAGUUAAGCGGCGUCGAGCUUGGUCAGUACCUAGAAGAGUGACCGCUUGUGCAUACUAGGUACUGUAA
Molecule: non-coding RNA, 112 nt
Organism: Acanthosepion pharaonis
Lineage: Eukaryota; Metazoa; Mollusca; Cephalopoda; Sepiida; Sepiidae
Source: the annotation of a GenBank genome assembly